GAGCUCACUGCGGCAGCACAUAGACUAAAAUUGGAACAAUACAGAGAAGCUUAGCAUGGACCUGCGCGAGGAUGGCAUCAAAUCUGUGAAGCGUUCCACAUAAAU
Molecule: small nuclear RNA, 105 nt
Organism: Octodon degus (degu)
Lineage: Eukaryota; Metazoa; Chordata; Mammalia; Rodentia; Octodontidae
Source: Ensembl